Octopus bimaculoides (California two-spot octopus) is the source of this 108-nucleotide non-coding RNA. Lineage: Eukaryota; Metazoa; Mollusca; Cephalopoda; Octopoda; Octopodidae. The record is from Rfam.
UGUAAUACAUCACAAGUCCAAUAUAUUGAAAUUGGAUAUAUACUGAGAAAAUUAGAAUGGCUUCUGCACAAAAGCGACACGUACAUUCAUGAAGUGUAACAUUUUGUA